This 466-nucleotide ribosomal RNA is filed under the name uncultured bacterium. RNAcentral's name for it is "bacterial SSU rRNA". It matches the Rfam family "Bacterial small subunit ribosomal RNA", at positions 330 to 793 of the family's 1533-position model. The record is from RNAcentral.
GCCAGACUCCUACGGGAGGCAGCAGUGAGGAAUAUUGGUCAAUGGACGAAAGUCUGAACCAGCCAUGCCGCGUGCAGGAUGACGGCUCUAUGAGUUGUAAACUGCUUUUGUAUUAGGGUAAACACCCCUACGUGUAGGGGCUUGAAAGUAUAAUACGAAUAAGGAUCGGCUAACUCCGUGCCAGCAGCCGCGGUAAUACGGAGGGUGCGAGCGUUAAUCGGAAUUACUGGGCGUAAAGCGCUCGUAGGCGGUAUGUCAAGUCAAGGGUGAAAUCCCCGCGCUCAACGUGGGAACUGCCUUUGAAACUGGCAAACUGGAGUGUGUGAGAGGAUAGUGGAAUUCCAGGUGUAGGAGUGAAAUCCGUAGAUAUCUGGAGGAACAUCAGUGGCGAAGGCGACUAUCUGGCACAUAACUGACGCUGAGGAGCGAAAGCGUGGGUAGCAAACAGGAUUAGAUACCCCGGUAA